RNAcentral lists this ribosomal RNA (508 nucleotides) under uncultured bacterium. RNAcentral's name for it is "bacterial SSU rRNA". It matches the Rfam family "Bacterial small subunit ribosomal RNA", at positions 23 to 505 of the family's 1533-position model. The record is from RNAcentral.
CUCAGAUUGAACGCUGGCGGCAGGCCUAACACAUGCAAGUCGAGCGGAAACGACACUAACAAUCCUUCGGGUGCGUUAAUGGGCGUCGAGCGGCGGACGGGUGAGUAAUGCCUAGGAAAUUGCCUUGAUGUGGGGGAUAACCAUUGGAAACGAUGGCUAAUACCGCAUAAUGCCUACGGGCCAAAGAGGGGGACCUUCGGGCCUCUCGCGUCAAGAUAUGCCUAGGUGGGAUUAGCUAGUUGGUGAGGUAAUGGCUCACCAAGGCGACGAUCCCUAGCUGGUCUGAGAGGAUGAUCAGCCACACUGGAACUGAGACACGGUCCAGACUCCGUACGGGAGGCAGCAGUGGGGAAUAUUGCACAAUGGGCGAAAGCCUGAUGCAGCCAUGCCGCGUGUAUGAAGAAGGUCCGUUCGGUUUGUAAAGUACUUCAGUUGUGUAGGAAGGGUAACGUUAAGUAGUCGUUAUCUCUUGUACGUUACGCAACGAGAAGAACGACGACCGGUACCG